RNAcentral lists this ribosomal RNA (406 nucleotides) under uncultured Bicosoecida. RNAcentral describes it as "partial small subunit ribosomal RNA". It matches the Rfam family "Eukaryotic small subunit ribosomal RNA", at positions 30 to 432 of the family's 1831-position model. Lineage: Eukaryota; Bigyra; Bicosoecida. The record is from RNAcentral.
GCUUGUCUCAAAGAUUAAGCCAUGCAUGUCUAAGUACAAGCCUCAGUAAGGUGAAACCGCGAAUGGCUCAUUAAAUCACACCUAAUCUACUGGAAAGUUACUAGUUACUUGGAUAACUGAGGUAAUUCUUGAGCUAAUACAUGCGCAAAUUCCCGACUGUCGCAAGGCGGAAAGGAUGUAUUUAUUAGAUCCAACCAGCCCGGUUCGCCGGAGUCCCUGGUGAGUCAUAAUAACUGAGCGAAUCGCAUGGCCUUGUGCCGGCGAUGGUUCAUUCAAGUUUCUGCCCUAUCAGCUUUCGAUGGUAGGGUAUUGGCCUACCAUGGCGUUAACGGGUAACGGAGAAUUAGGGUUCGAUUCCGGAGAGGGAGCCUGAGAAACGGCUACCACAUCCAAGGAAGGCAGCAGG